CGCCUGUUUAACAAAAACAUCUCUUCUUGUUUGUUUAUUAACCUGCCCACUGAAUUUUAUGAAGAGCCGCGGUAAUUUGACCGUGCAAAAGUAGCAUAGUCAUUAGUCUUUUAAUUGAAGACUUGUACGAAUGGUUGGACGAGAUGAAUACUGUCUUAUUAUUAUUUGUUGAAUUUAAUUUUUGACUUGAAAAGCUUAAAUGAUUUUUUUGGGACGAGAAGACUCUGUAGAGUUUAACAGUUGUUACUUUGUUGUUUUGUUGCUUAUUUUGUGUUUUGCAAUGGCUUAUUUACUUUGUUGGGGCGAUGGGAAGAUUAUAAUAACUCUUUUUUUUUUGUUUAUUGAUUUAUAUACUGUUGAUCCAUGAUUUUGUGAUUAUAAGUUUAAAUUACCUUAGGGACAACAGCAUAACCGUUUUUGAGAGUUCUUAUCGGCUAAAGGGAUGACGACCUUGGUGUUGGAUUAAGAUUUAUAUUGGAUGUAGAAGUUCAUUUAUUGGGCCUGUUCGACCUUUAAAAUCUUACGUGAUCUGAGUUCAGACCGG
This 544-nucleotide ribosomal RNA is filed under the name Parcoblatta sp. MSB-2012. RNAcentral describes it as "partial 16S ribosomal RNA". It matches the Rfam family "Archaeal large subunit ribosomal RNA", at positions 1889 to 2688 of the family's 2987-position model. The record is from RNAcentral. Lineage: Eukaryota; Metazoa; Arthropoda; Insecta; Blattodea; Blattellidae.